Molecule: RNA transcript, 5089 nt
Organism: Homarus americanus (American lobster)
Lineage: Eukaryota; Metazoa; Arthropoda; Malacostraca; Decapoda; Nephropidae
Gene name: inactive dipeptidyl peptidase 10-like
Exons: 19
Source: RefSeq, a predicted model, not a curated record
ACACUUUAAUGACCCCACCUGAACACUUAAUUGCAGUUCAUGAUACAAACAGUGGGAUUAAAAGCUCCCCUGAGGUAAUUUAUGAAUUUACUAUAAAAGAACAAAAAUAUCGUAAGUAAUUGAGAUAUUUUGACAUAUUAGCAGAAUAAAGAUUUUUAGUGUAACAGCUAAUAAAAAAAUCAAUUGAAAUACCAAAAGUAACAUUAUUUCCUCUAUUACCUGAAGCUAAUUAGUUAUAUCAGGUAGAACAUUCCUAAAAAUGAACUACAGUAUUUCUGAGAACAUUUACCAAACACUGGAAGGGUGUGUGUGUGUGUGUGUGUGCGUGUGUGUGUGUGUGUGUGUGUGUGUGUGUGUGUGUGUGUAUGGUGAGAUGUGUACAGUAGAUCUUCACUUGUUAUCCUUAUAAAGCGGAGGACACACACACACACACACACACACACACACACACGUUCAUAUAUAAAAACACCCAAGCACAAGUUUGCUUUUACAUGGUGAGUGUGUUUGUGUAUGUGUGUGGAAGUGCAUGUGUGUGUGAUUUUUACCGCAGGGGGAAGGAGGAUUAGCACAAAGGCGGUCGUGUAGUGUAUGCGUGAGUGUGUGUAUAUCUGAGUGUGUGCGUGAGUGUGUGUGUGUGUGUGUGUGUGUGUGUGGGAGCAGGCUAACCCUCCCGACUCAACAAGUGGCCUCUCUUACUGUCAGGCGAUCACCACCACCAGCACCACCACCAGCACAACACCUCCGCCACUCCCUCUUGCUCACCACCGCCUGGAGUGAGUCACCACUACGUUCUCGCUGACUCACCCAACCACAUCAACAGCUACCUACCCAACCACGCUCACCACACCUUCACCACACAAGAACUGGACUCUUGAAAAAUAGGAAAAAAAAAACACCUCGAUUGUUCUCUGUUGACCGCCACACACCUUGAAACACUUAAGAAAACAAACACCAGUGCUGUGUGUGUGUGUGUGUGUGUGUGUGUGUGUUUAGUGCCCCGGAAGAUAUAUCAACUGACGGAUCAAAUAACGUCUUUCUUCUUUGUCCAGUGCUUCGUGCGGUCUGAUACCUCCCAGGGUACUUGUCGUGCCCUCCUGGGGGUGUUGAGGUACUCCUGGGGGUGUUGAGAUACUCCUAGGGGUGUUAAGGUACUCCUAGGGGUGUUGAGGUACUCCUAGGGGUGUUGAAGUACCUCUAAAAGACCUCCGAGUACCCGACCCCCCUUCUCUCCCCCCCGAGCUGCCAAGAUGACCUCGGAGAAGGACAUAAACCAGCAAGUGGAGGUAAUGCCCUCGCGCACCCACCGUGGAGGGGCGCCCACUCUGGCCUCGGAACUGGCCCGCUGUUUUACGGAGCUGGUCGCCUCCACACCUAACCAACGCAACUGGAGAGGCAUCCUGAUCGCCCUGCUGGUGAUUGGCUGUGUCUGUGGGCUGAUCAUCUUCUCCGUCGUGUUGCUGACGCCGCCUGACGCUGGCCCGAGGUUCACAGGCAACAGGUUCGCAUUAGCUGACAUUAUCAGCGGUGCGUUCAAGCCGCCGGGGUUCAACGGCAAGUGGAUAUCAGGGACGGAGAUCGUGUUUGGUGACGACAGUGGUGGGGUCAGUCUGCUACACGUCCCUACCCUCAUCGUUACGCCCCUCGUCUCAAACUUCACUUUUCGCCGUCUAAACGUUGAAGAGUUCGAUGUUUCCCCCGAUAAGAGAUACAUCUUAUUGAAACAUGACGUCUUACAGGACUAUGACUACAUCUCUUGCCCAGAUGAGUUCCCCACUCGACACUUCCGCCACUUGGCCAAGUACACGGUGCUACAAAUGGACUCGGAACACGUGGUAUCGGUGACGCCCUUCCCGUCCAAGGAGGGUCACCCGGAGCUCCAACACGUGGUAUGGGUGCCUGGGGCCGCCGCUUCUCUCGUCAUGGUCCACGAGAACGACAUCUACGUUAAAGAGUCGCCAACCUCACCUGUCGUCUCACGCCUCACUACUACAGGAGAACGACACAAGGUCUUUAAUGGCGUCACGGAUUAUCUUUACAGAGAGUACGUGUUACACUCGGUAUCGGCAGUGUGGGCUAGCGAGGAGGGUAACAGAUUGUGUUACGCUUCCUUCAACGACUCAGGUGUACGGGAGGCCAAAAUACCUGUGUAUACCGACAAAUAUGCUACCAUUAAUCAAGUCAGGUACCCCAAGGUAGACACAAACAACCCGGUAGCGACGCUGUGGGUGGUAGAGUUGGGUCAGUCGCCGCCCGCACCCAGAGACCUGAAGCCGCCCACGCGAGUUAGAGACCAGGACUACUACUUCACCGGGGUGUCGUGGGUGGACGCGGACACAGUGGCGGUGGUGUGGAGAAACAGAGCUCAGAACGUGAGUGUGGUCACCGCCUGCACCGAACCCAUGUGGUUCUGUGAAGAGCUCUACGUGGAGGAGAGUGGCCCGAGACGAUGGGCGACGGUGGAAAAAGUUCCUCUCUUCGCUAUGAACGGCACCGCCUUCGUCAGCGUGGCGCCCUUGGUAGAUAGCACGUCGGGAACCUAUCCACACAUCCACCAGGGCAGCACCGGCACCGUUCACACCAUCCCCGUUACCUUCGGCACCUACACCGUGUUCUCCGUCGUCGGCUGGGACACUGAGAACCACCACGUGUACUACGUGGCCAACACAGAGACGGAAGUGGCGGAGCGACACCUGUGGAGAGUGACAGAUGUGACCUCACCUACGCCCCGCCAGCAGGAGUGUCUCACCUGCCACCUUAACUACACCACCCCACCUUGUCGUCACUUCACCCCCUACAUGGGUCCUGACAACUUCUACGAGGUGGUCCUUCAGUGUGAGGGUCCAGGUGUUCCUCAUACGAUGUUAUACUCGAUAGUGGACGAGGAGGUGCUGCUUUACAUACACAACAACACGCACCUGCAGCGCCUCAGUCUGGAGAUGGCUUGGCCGCAGCGUAAAGACUACAGAGUCAAGCUGGAUGGUGGCUUCGUUGCCCAGGUACGUCUGAGCAUCCCGCCGGAGUUCACGGAGGAGGAGGCGUUCAUCUACCCGGUGAUGGUACAGGUGGGCGGUGUACCUGGCGAGCAGCGCGUCAACCAUAAGUGGCAUGUUGACUGGACCACUUACCUCGCCUCUAACAAAUCCUGGGUGGCCAUGGAAGUGGAUGUGAGAGGGGCGUCGAGCCAGGAUCUAGGACUCAUGUACAAGCCGGCCUGGAGACUCGGCGAGGUGGAAGUCACAGACCAUGUGGCUGUGGUCAAAUCACUACUGGAGAAGUUGGAGUUCUUGGACGGGUCACGGGUGGCGGCCUUCGGGUGGGGUCACAGCGGGUACAACACCGCCCGACUACUGGCGCAGGACACUGAUAAAGUGUUCGCCUGCGCCGCCGUUGUCAACCCCAUCACUGACUGGUCCCUCUACUCGUCGUACUACACGGAAAAGUACAUGGGGACGGCGCAGGUGGUCCCAGGCGGUAACUACAGAGGGUAUGAAGAGAGCUCCCUCCUCCUGCGGGCGUCGAGCUUCAAGAACAGGACGCUACUGCUGGUACACGGCUCAGCAGACACGGACGUCCACUACGACCACACCCUCAAGUUCUCUCGGGCGCUUACUAAAAAGGGCAUUAUCUUCAGGCAACAGACCUACACAGACGAGGGCCACGACCUGGAGCGGGUCCAGACGCACCUAUAUAAGACGCUCGAGUCAUACUUGGAGGGGUGUUUCCCCGCCUACAACGAGGAGGAGCUGAGCUUACUCUUCGGCCAAGAUGCUCUCCCAUAGUUGCAGCAUCACCGCAGCAGCAUCGAGGAAAACAACAGCAAAAGCAGCAGCAGCAGCAACAGAAACAGCAGCAGCAGCAGCAGAAACAGCAGCAGCAGCAGCAGCACGGGACAGCACCAUCACAAGCUCAGUCAAAGUAUGUGGCAGAGAGCACUUGUUUGGUACCGUCGACUAGCUCUUCAGGUGGUGGGUCCUUUCUAUAGGAUGCCGUCUUGCUGAGAUAUCUGUCUGGGAGGAUCCUGUAGGACUACUCCGGGAGGACAAGGGCAACAACCUAUAGGACUCGUGGAGGACGGGUGAGAGAGCUCCUUAUGUCCUUUACCAACUCCCAUCUAUCAACCCACCCAAGUCCUACUCUAAUAACGGCUACCGAGUGACCCCCCUCGUGAGAUGUCCUUCUUUCUACUGUCAGCCGCUGGGACAUCAUCACCGUGUUGACAGCUGGGUUGCUGACACACUGCUCCUGAGAUGAACUGCUGUGUAUGUGUCAGCUGUGAGUGUGUUUGUUUCUCGUGAUUCUGAGAUGAGAAAAGAAUCGUGUUUGAGAUCCGGGUCGAGAGCUAUGAGGUGAGGUGUUGCAAGAGGUGAGGUGUUGCAAGACGUGAGAGAUGAGGUGAGGUGUUGCAAGACGUGAGAUGUUGCAAGAGGUGACAUGUUGCAAGACGUGAGAGAUGAGGUGAGGUGUUGCAAGACGUGAGGUGUUGCAAGAGGUGAGAUUUUGCAAGACUAGAGAUGUGUUGAUGACCGUCUUGUUCUCUGAGAUGUGUUAUGUUGACAGUCGUUCUAUGAGACUUUUUGAGAUGGUCGUAUUUAGAAGGUGUGUGUAUGUGUGUGUGUCUGUGUAUAUGUGCGGGUUACGUAAACGACCCUGAGAUCCCUGAGAUGUGCUGUGUUAUUCUGAGAAUCUUUUGAGACGUCGUAUUAAAAGAUGCCAAAUGACGGCCCUGAGAUACUGCCUGUCUGUGUGUGUGUGUCUGUGUGUGUGUGUGUCUGUACAGCGGUCAUGGUCGGAGGCGCUAACAAAGAGACUCUCGAGAGAUAGUAUUAAAGAGACUCUCGCUUGAUGGAGGAGGAUCUCUAUCUCUUUAUCUCUCUCUCAAUAAUAAUAAUAACAAGACGUUCGCCAGGCUAAGACCACAAGUUCCAGCCCUGGCAGAGGCGAGGCUCCCCUGACGUCACAAACACUCCAACGGGAAACUGUCUGUCUUGUUGUUGCUUCGUCGUUCGUGGAGGUUAAGGGCGGAGAUACUAGGAUGUGGUGAAGAGUACCGAGAGUACCUUAAGAGUACCGAGAGUACCUUAAGAGUACC